GGUGGCUUAAUGGUAAAGUGCUUGUCUUGCAUGCAUGAGGCCCUGGGUUUGAUUCCUCAGCACCA
Molecule: transfer RNA, 65 nt
Filed under: Dipodomys ordii (Ord's kangaroo rat)
Lineage: Eukaryota; Metazoa; Chordata; Mammalia; Rodentia; Heteromyidae
Rfam family: tRNA
About the family: Transfer RNA (tRNA) molecules are approximately 80 nucleotides in length. Their secondary structure includes four short double-helical elements and three loops (D, anti-codon, and T loops).
Source: Rfam by way of RNAcentral